UACGUAGGCAGCGAGCGUUGUUCGGAAUUACUGGGCGUAAAGAGUGUGUAGGCGGUGUUCCAAGUUCGGUGUGAAAUCUCCCGGCUUAACUGGGAGGGUGCGGCGGAAACUGGAAUGCUAGAGGGUGGGAGAGGUAAGCGGAAUUCCUGGUGUAGCGGUGAAAUGCGCAGAUAUCAGGAAGAACACCCGUGGCUAAGGCGGCUCUCUAGUACGGUACUGACGCUGAGACGCGAAAGCGUGGGGAGCGAACAGG
RNAcentral lists this ribosomal RNA (253 nucleotides) under uncultured bacterium. Its description in RNAcentral is "partial 16S ribosomal RNA". It matches the Rfam family "Bacterial small subunit ribosomal RNA", at positions 524 to 776 of the family's 1533-position model. The record is from RNAcentral.